This 1293-nucleotide ribosomal RNA is filed under the name metagenome. RNAcentral describes it as "bacterial LSU rRNA". It matches the Rfam family "Bacterial large subunit ribosomal RNA", at positions 1589 to 2910 of the family's 2925-position model. The record is from RNAcentral.
GUCGGGCCGUGAAGUGGUCCCAGGAAAUAGCUCCAGCUUAUAGCCCGUACCCUAAACCGACACAGGUGGACUGGCAGAGUAUGCUAAGGCGCUUGAGAGAACUGUAUUGAAGGAACUAGGCAAAUUGCUCUCGUAACUUCGGAAGAAGAGAGCCCGGUUUUUACGCAAGUAGAAGCCGGGGGCACAUAGCAGGGGGUGGCGACUGUUUACUAAAAACACAGGACGCUGCGAAAUCCAAAGAUGACGUAUAGCGUCUGACGCCUGCCCGGUGCUGGAAGGUUAAGAGGAGAUGUGAAAGCGUUGAAUCGAAGCCCCAGUAAACGGCGGCCGUAACAAUAACGGUCCUAAGGUAGCGAAAUUCCUUGUCGGGUAAGUUCCGACCUGCACGAAAGGCGUAACGACUUCCCCACUGUCUCCAAUACAGGCUCAGCGAAAUUGAAUUCCCCGUGAAGAUGCGGGGUUCCCGCGGUCAGACGGAAAGACCCCGUGCACCUUUACUGCAACUUUACACUGGCAUUAGGAAUGGGAUGUGUAGAAUAGGUGGUAGGCAUUGAAACCGCGGCGCUAGCUGUGGUGGAGCCGAAAUGUGAAAUACCACCCUUCUUGUUCCUGAUGUCUAACCGCGGUCCCGAAACGGGAUCCGAGACAGUGUAUGGUAGGCAGUUUGACUGGGGCGGUCGCCUCCCAAAGAGUAACGGAGGCGCGCGAUGGUAGGCUCAAUCCGGUCGGAAAUCGGAUGGUGAGUGCAAUGGCAAAAGCCUGCCUGACUGCAAGGUCGACGGACCAAGCAGAGACGAAAGUCGGUCAUAGUGAUCCGGUGAUCCCGAAUGGAAGGGUCAUCGCUCAACGGAUAAAAGGUACGCCGGGGAUAACAGGCUGAUCGCACCCAAGCGUCCAUAGCGACGGUGCGGUUUGGCACCUCGAUGUCGGCUCAUCACAUCCUGGGGCUGUAGCCGGUCCCAAGGGUAUGGCUGUUCGCCAUUUAAAGUGGUACGUGAGCUGGGUUUAGAACGUCGUGAGACAGUUCGGUCCCUAUCUGCCGUGGGUGUUCGAAACUUGAGAAGACUUUUUCCUAGUACGAGAGGACCGGAAAGAACGUAUCUCUGGUGGACCGGUUGUGGCGCCAGCCGCACAGCCGGGUAGCUAAAUACGGACGAGAUAACCGCUGAAAGCAUCUAAGCGGGAAACUCACUUCAAAACUAGGUUUCGCUUGAGAGCCGGGGAAGACUACCCCGUCGAUAGGCCAGGUGUGUAAGCGCAGCAAUGCGUUGAGCUUACUGGUACUAAUUGCUC